Oreochromis niloticus (Nile tilapia) is the source of this 1905-nucleotide long non-coding RNA. RefSeq lists it as uncharacterized. The transcript is spliced from 4 exons. The record is from RefSeq and is a predicted model, not a curated record. NCBI's taxonomy places the organism in Eukaryota, Metazoa, Chordata, Actinopteri, Cichliformes, Cichlidae.
UGUUCCCUGUCUAAGGUUUUUAUGUUUUGCGUUCCAGGUUUCUAGUUCCUUUGUAUUAUUUUUGUAUUAUUUUAGUUUAAGUUUUGUUUUGUUUAGUUUUUGAAAAAUUCUGCUUUUGUUUGUUUUUUGUCCCUGCCAGAAAUAAAUUUGUUGUCAGUAUCUGCACUUGGGUCCCGUUUCCACUCCACAUGUCAUCCGGGGGGGGAAAUGGUUUUUGUUUUCUGGAUUUUUGCAUGUGUUGUUUUGCAUGUUUGCUGUGUUUUCUUUCUUGUUGAGUGUUCUUAUUUUUGCAGUGAUUGCAUGGUUUUUUUAGUAUGGAUAAUUGCUGACAUGGGCCGGAAAGGCCCCGCCCCCUUCUGAUUACUAAUUUGAGACACCGGAGGGGUUGACAAAAGCAGGUUGGAGGACAUUCUCGAGGGGAGCUCAGGUGGCGGCAGCAACUGGCUUGGAGGCCCUGGCGACUGGGCUCCAGAGAGGCAACUGGGAUUAAGGAAUAUUCUGCAGCGGUGCGGGAGAUUUGCAGCUGGGGGACGGGCUGAGAGAUGCCAGUAGGUGAUAGGAUGAACAACAGCCAGAUAGCGCUCCAAACAGGUGCAGAGUGCUGAUGCCUCCAACGCUGGAAACCCAUAUAGAGGACGAGGAUGUAGACCGGAAAGAGGAAGAUGAUGUUGAAGAAGGAAUACAUGGCAGUAAUGACAGUGGUAGCUACUGAGUCCUGGCAUUGUAAGCUAGAAGAGAUAGAGCUGUUGGUGUAGUUGGAGAAGAGACUGAGGUUUUGAAAGAGAUGGCAUGACAUUACACUGUGGGCUUCUGAUAUGAACAAGAAAUUCCAACAUCACUUAGAACAAGCAUAGGCAAAAUAUACAAGGGCAGAACCAGUAGUUAGUAGCCCGCAACUGACACUUCUGCUUACCAAUAUUAAAUUUGGCCUCAUGGAGCCCUUGAGAGGAGCUCCCGAGGCAAAUUUGAGACCAUGUGGGACCAUCUGAACCAUCAAAGUUUACAGAGACCGUUUACAGCUGUACCGUUAAGGCACUUGGUGACUGUUAUUGAUGGUGUAUACCAGAGGUGAAUGGGAAUUCUGGAGUCAGAAUGCAGGCGCCGACAAGCCAACUGGAGUGUGGCUUUGACAGUGAGAGUCUGGCUGAAAAUUUUAUUCCAUGGCCUAAGUAGUUCUGGCAAACUGUCAGCCAAAUCAGGAAGAGCAAGAAGUUUUCUGCCCACAUUCAUGCCAACUAUUCAACUGGGGCGCAGUCCAGUGCUGGGAGUAGAGUCUACGAUCUCAUUACUUGCCUGUCAUAGAUAAAGAAGAGUGUGGGGACAAGGGGGGCAACAGAACUUGGGGCCCUGAGGUAGUUAAGAAACCUUUUGGUGGCUGGGCACCAGGUGUGGAUAAGUUCUUUUAUACUAGUGAACUAUGUUAAUUAGUACUGGUACUGAAGAAUUCAACACUAACUGUAUGUCAGAAUGUAUCUGUUUUAUGUAAGUGCAAUGCCUAUUUAUUUUGGUUUUAAUUUUUUUGCAGUAGUAAUUUAUUCAUGACAACCAAGUUGUUGUCAAGUUUUCAUCUUUGAUUACCCUUAUCCUACGCUCCUGCUAUGGGAGCAGACUGCUAUGCUAUAAAAUCUUGUCACAUCUCGUUUAGAUCACUGUAAUUCUCUUCUCUAUGGUCUACCUCAUAAAUCUCUCCAUAAAUUGAAGUUAGUACAGCUGCUCGUAUUAUUUCCAGAAUUAGAUCCACUGAACAUAUAACACCUGUUCUUAAACAGCUCCAUUGGCUUCUAGUUCACCUACGUGUCAAUUUCAAGAUCCUGCUUCUUACUUUCAAAGUGCAUCAUAACCUCGCUCCUCCAUAUUUAUCUGAUCGUCUCCAUACAUACUCACCCCCUCGUACACUCCGCUCUU